RNAcentral lists this ribosomal RNA (433 nucleotides) under uncultured bacterium. Its description in RNAcentral is "partial 16S ribosomal RNA". It matches the Rfam family "Bacterial small subunit ribosomal RNA", at positions 29 to 507 of the family's 1533-position model. The record is from RNAcentral.
AACGAACGCUGGCGGCAUGCCUAACACAUGCAAGUCGAACGAGACCUUCGGGUCUAGUGGCGUACGGGUGCGUAACGCGUGGGAACCUGCCCUUAGGUUCGGAAUAACUCCCCGAAAGGGGUGCUAAUACCAGAUAAUGUCUUCGGACCAAAGAUUUAUCGCCUUUGGAUGGGCCCGCGUUGGAUUAGCUAGUUGGUAGGGUAAAAGCCUACCAAGGCGACGAUCCAUAGCUGGUCUGAGAGGAUGAUCAGCCACACUGGGACUGAGACACGGCCCAGACUCCUACGGGAGGCAGCAGUGGGGAAUAUUGGACAAUGGGCGAAAGCCUGAUCCAGCAAUGCCGCGUGAGUGAUGAAGGCCUUAGGGUUGUAAAGCUCUUUUACCCGGGAUGAUAAUGACAGUACCGGGAGAAUAAGCUCCGGCUAACUCCGUG